GAGGGUAUAGCUCAGUGAUAGAGUGCAUGCUUAGCAUGCAUGAGGUCCUGGGUUCAAUCCCCAGUCCCUCA
RNAcentral lists this transfer RNA (71 nucleotides) under Camelus bactrianus (Bactrian camel). It matches the Rfam family "tRNA". Rfam says of the family: Transfer RNA (tRNA) molecules are approximately 80 nucleotides in length. Their secondary structure includes four short double-helical elements and three loops (D, anti-codon, and T loops). Further hydrogen bonds mediate the characteristic L-shaped molecular structure. tRNAs have two regions of fundamental functional importance: the anti-codon, which is responsible for specific mRNA codon recognition, and the 3' end, to which the tRNAs corresponding amino acid is attached (by aminoacyl-tRNA synthetases). tRNAs cope with the degeneracy of the genetic code in two manners: having more than one tRNA (with a specific anti-codon) for a particular amino acid; and 'wobble' base-pairing, i.e. permitting non-standard base-pairing at the 3rd anti-codon position. The record is from Rfam by way of RNAcentral. RNAcentral also lists the same sequence under 2 other names. Lineage: Eukaryota; Metazoa; Chordata; Mammalia; Artiodactyla; Camelidae.